GCGCUAUCGGAGCGGCCGAUGGCAGAUUAGCUUGUUGGUGAGGUAAAGGCUCACCAAGGCUACGAUCUGUAGCUGGUCUGAGAGGACGACCAGCCACACUGGGACUGAGACACGGCCCAG
This 120-nucleotide ribosomal RNA is filed under the name uncultured bacterium. RNAcentral describes it as "partial 16S ribosomal RNA". It matches the Rfam family "Bacterial small subunit ribosomal RNA", at positions 215 to 334 of the family's 1533-position model. The record is from RNAcentral.